RNAcentral lists this transfer RNA (74 nucleotides) under Rattus norvegicus (Norway rat). It matches the Rfam family "tRNA". From Rfam's summary of the family: Transfer RNA (tRNA) molecules are approximately 80 nucleotides in length. Lineage: Eukaryota; Metazoa; Chordata; Mammalia; Rodentia; Muridae. The record is from Rfam by way of RNAcentral.
GAGAGAGUGGCUCAACAGUGAAGAGCACUGGGCUGUUCUUCCAGGGGAUCCAGGUUCAAAUCCCAGCAUUUUCA